UUGCCUUCUGUGGGUUUUAUAGAGAGAU
Molecule: non-coding RNA, 28 nt
Filed under: Mus musculus (house mouse)
Lineage: Eukaryota; Metazoa; Chordata; Mammalia; Rodentia; Muridae
Source: RNAcentral